RNAcentral lists this transfer RNA (75 nucleotides) under Acidobacteriota bacterium. RNAcentral's name for it is "Acidobacteria bacterium tRNA-His". It matches the Rfam family "tRNA". Rfam says of the family: Transfer RNA (tRNA) molecules are approximately 80 nucleotides in length. Lineage: Bacteria; Pseudomonadati; Acidobacteriota. The record is from RNAcentral. RNAcentral also lists the same sequence under 2 other names.
GUGAGUGUAGCUCAAUGGCAGAGCACCUGACUGUGGAUCAGGGGGUUGAGGGUUCGAAACCCUCCACUCACCCCA